CCUACGGGUGGCAGCAGUGAGGAAUAUUGGUCAAUGGCCGGAAGGCUGAACCAGCCAAGCCGCGUGAAGGACGAAGGUGCCAAGCAUUGUAAACUUCUUUUGUCAAGGGACAAAAUCAGGCUCGAGAGCCUGACCGAGGGUACUUGAAGAAAAAGCAUCGGCUAACUCCGUGCCAGCAGCCGCGGUAAUACGGAGGAUGCGAGCGUUAUCCGGAUUUACUGGGUGUAAAGGGAGCGUAGACGGCACUGCAAGUCCGGAGUGAAAGCCCAAGGCUUAACCAUGGGACUGCUCUGGAAACUGUGGAGCUUGAGUGCGGGAGGGGCAGGCGGAAUUCCUAGUGUAGCGGUGAAAUGCGUAGAUAUUAGGAGGAACACCGGCGGCGAAGGCGGCCUGCUGGACCGUAACUGACGUUGAGGCUCGAAAGCGUGGGGAGCAAACAGGAUUAGAUACCCGGGUAGUC
RNAcentral lists this ribosomal RNA (460 nucleotides) under uncultured bacterium. RNAcentral's name for it is "partial 16S ribosomal RNA". It matches the Rfam family "Bacterial small subunit ribosomal RNA", at positions 338 to 795 of the family's 1533-position model. The record is from RNAcentral.